AUGGAAAAUGCCUGCGAGGACAUCACCAAUGUCGUGCGCUCGGUGAAGCUGCUUAGGAUUGACGGCUACUGCACCACCGAAACAAUGGGCCAUGGGGAUUGCAUCAGAUCCAGUUGGAACGUUGGUGGGUACGAGUGGGAGAUCUGCAUUUACCCUGCCAUGAGAGAUACAGAUGGCACUCGGUGCGUGGCAGCCAAGCUUGUGUUUCUCAGUGACACCUGCCCGUCCAUUGUGAGGGCCAACCUCAGCUGUCGUUUGGUUGAUCUCACAGGCGCCCGUGUACCAUUAGGGGGGAGCGUGUCAUGGAUAUUUAACCGCCCAUGGACAUUCUGCUAUCUUGUAAAGUGCUCGCCUGUCGCCCUAGAAAAUAUCUCACCUCCUGUUCGUGUCAUAUCAACAGAAAAUUCACCGUUAUCUGGUUUUCUCCGAAAUGAUUCUUUUACUGUGGAAUGCACCAUCACCGUGCUUAAGGAGGAUUUGCCAGCACCAGCAACAACCUCGGCUAAAGAGGUGUCUGGGUCUGGGUCAUCACCUAGCUUGCAAGACCACUUGGCUGAACUCCUGCGCAGUGGAAUGGAAGCGGAUGUCACAUUUCUUGUGUCCGGCAAGUCUUUCGCUGCGCACAAGCUCAUUCUCGCUGCAAGGUCCCCUGUCCUUAUGGCGGAGUUCUUUGGGGACAUGAAGGAGACGAGCUCUCGUUGUGUGGAGAUCUAGGACAUGAAAGCGGAGGUAUUCGAGCCGUUGCUUUACUUCAUCUACACUGACUCGGUUCUGGAAUUCAGUCUUCAGCAUGAGAGAGUGACGAUGCUGGCUCAGCAUCUGCUUGCAGCUGCCGACAGGUAUGGAUUGGACAGGCCCAAGCAGAUCUGCGAAGGAAAGCUCUCUGAUGGCAUUAGUGUCGACACGGCAGCGACACUGGCUUUAGCGGAGCAGCACAACUGCCCACAGCUCAAGGUUAAGUGUGUCGACUUCAUUGUUAGUACUCCUGCAAUCCUUGAUGCUGUGUUGGCGACGGACGGAUAUAAGCAUCUGGAGGCAAGCUGUCCUAUGGUGUUGCCUGAGCUUCUCAAGUCUGCACGGAGCAGAAAGAGUUGA
RNAcentral lists this ribosomal RNA (1095 nucleotides) under Triticum aestivum (bread wheat). Its description in RNAcentral is "partial small subunit ribosomal RNA". Lineage: Eukaryota; Viridiplantae; Streptophyta; Magnoliopsida; Poales; Poaceae. The record is from RNAcentral.